This 468-nucleotide ribosomal RNA is filed under the name uncultured bacterium. RNAcentral's name for it is "partial 16S ribosomal RNA". It matches the Rfam family "Bacterial small subunit ribosomal RNA", at positions 28 to 507 of the family's 1533-position model. The record is from RNAcentral.
GACGAACGCUGGCGGCGUGCCUAACACAUGCAAGUCGAACGGAAACGCCCUGCUUUUGUGCGCUGCUCGAGUGGCGAACGGGUAAGUAACACGUGAGUAACCUACCCUUCACUUUGGGAUGAGUUCAGGACACUGGAGCUAAUCCCGGAUAGGAUCUCCUGCUGCAUGGUGGGGGUUGGAAAGUUUCGGCGGUUGGGGUUGGACUCGCCGCUUAUCAGCUUGUUGGUGUGGUAGUGUCUUACCAAGGCCAGGACCGGUAGCCGACCUGGGAGGGUGAGCUGCCCCAUUACGCCUGAGAUACGACACAGACUCGAAUGGGAGGCAAGGGUGGAGAGUAUAAUACAGUGGGAGGAAGGCUGGUGCGGCCACGCAGUGUGCGGGAAGACGGCCUUCGGGUAGUGAACUGAAUUUGCCUGUGACGAAGCGUUAGUGACGGUAAUGGGUAAAGAAGCACCGGCUAACUACGUG